GUCCCCCAGAGGAUGUCGGAAAUGUUUUGAUAUUUCUACCGGAUUUCCUCCACAAAGGCUGUUUAGUCAUAUUUCUACCGGAGUUAAAGUUGAGUCUGCCGGUCAAGAUGAGUCUAUCGGUCAGUGCGUCAACCCUCCACUCCACCUCUCCGCCCAGUAAAAAAAUUUCGCAACCGUUCGCUCCUCUACUCCUCAUCCACAUCCAUCCAGACGCCCAGCCGUUACUCCCAAUCUCCCAUGGUGACCAUGGCCUCGUGUAGUUGGGGUACAGGGUUCCAGGCGUGCUGCUCCGUUCAAGAGGUUCCAAGCCCAUUAGCUAUCUAACAGAUGGCUUCAAUCGCGUUCAUGAGCUCCUAAUUAGAUGCAGUUGACAGUUCCUUGCUACGAAAUGCACCUGCCAAUACACUGCUCACCAGAUAUUUGAUGGAAUGCCUCACUUCCAUUUUCCCAGGAAAGAUCAGUGCUGGGAAGAUCAAUUCAGCAAGAGGUGCCAGGGAUAGAGAAUUUAGAGCAAAUCAAAUUUUCUACAUAAACUAAAGCAGAAUUGCACUGUAUAUGGUAUGCUCCUCUGUACUUGUUUCUGUGUUCCAGAACUGUUGACUUCUUUAUUUGAGUGUGGAAGAACCUAUGUACUUAUAUGCAUAGGCGGGGUUAAUAAUUUUCUAUAUGCAGACUGCCUUAGUUUAAGUCAGCACUCAGCAGCAUGUUUAGUUGUACAGGAGAUGCGCCUGGCAUGUUAGUCUAUUUCCUAUUUCUUCAAAAAAAAAUGUUAGUCUAUUUCCUUGUCUAAUCUCCUUCCUUGAAUAUUGGGAUCUCUAUCCUUUUGAUUGUAAUCGUAUAUGGCAAACUGAUGCAAGCUAAAGCUACCACAUAUUUUGAUUUUUACAGUUUUACUGCAUCUGGAUAUUCCGAGUAUUUUCUAAUAGUAUGUGAGUUGAGAAUUUGCUAUGGUUCUCAACUAGAUUAUUUUACGAGAAUUAGUAUGUGAUUUUUACUGCAUCUGGAUGCCAUAUGAGGAGGAGACAGCUGGCGUUGCCGGGGAGCGUUUGGCGAUGGCAAGAGAUGGGGACUGGCCCGGAAGUUGGAACUGGAAGAGUGUGGUUUUUCCACAAGUGCCGGCCCGGGCAGGUAUGUUUGCUGCCGUUGAUUGAGCUCCAAAAGUCGUGCAACUUGAUGGGAGCUGUUGAAGUUGGUCCCACCACUUCGACGCGGGCCCCAUACCAAGCAGCCUGACUGCCUGAGGGUGCAACGCCAGGCAGACUAACCAGGCAUCAGCUGAGGCACGUUGGUAUAUGAGACCCACCUCUACUCCAUUCAUCCCUACCACCAACCAUGGUUUUAAAUAGCGGGCUAAGGGGUUUAGCGGUUGGACUCAAAAAAUAGCUAAUAGCGGGCUAAAUGAGGCUAUAGCGGGCUAUAGCGGCUAAAAUACACACGAGUUCAAAUAGCGGAACCAUGUCUCAAAUAGCUAUAGCGGGUCAUAGCGGAAGCUAUAGCGGGAGAUUUAAAACCUUGCCACCAACCCUGUCGUCCCUGUUAGCUCGCAAUUUUCACUGCCACCAUGGAUCCAUGGAGAUUGCUCAUCGCAGAUCCAGCGUAUGGAUCCUUGAACCAUUAAGGGCAGCAAGAGGAGAGGAUCCGGCCGCGCAGCGACGAGAUCCGAGUGAUUUCAAAUCCUGCCAUUAACGAAGAAGAGUUCACUAUGGAGGUGGUUUGACGGAGCUCGCGACAACAGGAGUCCUUAAGCAGCUACCUUCCAAGCAUUAGAGUUCUGAACCAUGGAGCUGUCGAGGCGGUCGGAAUGGAAGCGAUGAAGCCAACAAGCAGAGCACAAACAAGCUGAAGCCUUUAGUAAUAUGAUAUUUGGAAGAUUCUACCACAGAAAUAUUAGCAAAUUUAUUACCAAAAGCAAAUUGGUAAAUAGACGAGCCUAGAAGGCGUCACCUAUGAUUACCUUUGCAAAUAAGAUGGUUUACUUGAUGCAUUUAGCAAACAACUCGACUCAAACGAUGCUGCCAGUAACAAAAGAAAUGUUCCAGAAGUCUACUAUUGGUUCCUUAUGCCAAUAGUUAGAAGAUGUGAGAAUUUGGUCUAGCAUUACCAACUGCUUACACAUUAUCUAUACUAUAAAAGUUGAAAUAUUUGAAACCUUUUCUCACCAAAGUUAGGCCCACCGUACCCCUCACGGAGGUCUCACUUGUCAUGCCAAAAGUUUUGACGAAAGGAGGUGGAGUCCCAUUUUUUGAUAGAUAGAAAAUAUUUUCACCCAAAAGUCUUGUUUUUUUCACCAAAAGUUUUACCAUACCCAUCGCUGUAUUUUUGGAAGUAAAAAGAGAUAGAAUGCUGCCUUUUGGAAGCAAAAAGAGAGAGGAUAGCUGAUUUUGGGGGAUGCUACUUUUUUGGAAGUAAAAGAGAGAGGAUCGCUGAUUACCGUACCCACCACUGUUUUUUUGGAAGUAAAAAGAGAGAGGAUGCUGAUUUUUUGGAAGUAAAAAGAGAGAGGAUCGCUGAUUUUUAGGAUGUUGUUUUUUUAAGUAAAAAGAGAGGAUGUUUUUUUGGAAGUAAAAAAUAGAGGAUCACUGAUUUUUUUGGGGAUGCUGUUUUUUUGGAAGUAAAGAGAGAGGAUUGCUGAUUUUUUUUGUAGUAAAAAAGAGAGGAUCACUGAAUUUUUGGAAGCAAGGGAGAUCACGGUCACGUUCCUCUGCCGAUUGUCCCGUUCAUCUCGUUCUGGCCGCCGCUUUCAUCGCACAGCACCACGCGCUGGGUGCCCUCCCGUUCCUCUGCCACUCUUGUCGCACGUCACCGCACGCUGCCUGCCCGUCUGCUUGGCGUGCUCACACGUCACUGCGUGCUACCUGUCCUGUCGCGGCCUCGCCUCCUCGGUGCUCUCCCUUCGCCCCACGUUGCUGCACGCUGCCGUAUUCUUGAUUGCACGCCUGAUCGUUCAGCUGCUUCGUCGCAGCCGUGGCCUCGUCUGCUCGGAGUGCUCCAUCCGCUCCACGUUGCCACGCUCUGCCGCGUUCCUGACUGCCCGCCUGCUCGGCGCGUGGGGUUCAGGUUUAGGCACCGGCGCCCUCCUGCACAUUUGGUUGAUCGUCGCCACCGGUGCCCCUGUCCGUCGAGAAGGGUGCCAUUGAGGUGCGAGACUCCACCCGUUGGCGCCAUAGGCGGCUCUGGUCAUCCCCAUCCGGCAGCCCUGUUCGCCGAGAAGGGAACAUAGAGGUUCGAGGUUUGAUUCAUAAUUGUUCUCUAAACGUCUCCCACCUCCUGCAUGUUUGCUCAAAGAGGUUAUUCUUCGUUUGAUUAACCAGCACCGAGAUGAUUCUUUAUUUAUUUUUUGUUGUGACAUAUUUUGAUGGGUUGAAGCAAAGGGAUGGCCAUCGACCAUUUGGAGAUAUCACCAAUACCUUGAAUCAUCGUUAGCGACAUUCACAUGAUCCACAUGAUAACCAAGCUGUGCAAAAUGUUGAUUGCACCAAGCAAAGAGAAGUUAAGCGGCAAAAGGCUAGGGAAAAAUAUGCAAGCAUGCCAGCUGAUAAAAAAGCUGAGUUGAAUGCUAUGAGGCGAGAAAGUUAUCAUCGGAAAAAGGCCGAAAGAGAAGCUGCUCAGAAUGAUACACAGAAUCUCGGCACAAUUUUUACAACCCGACAUUCAGUAUGUGAGUCUGCUAACUCAAUAUGUAUUGACCAUAUGUAGGUGUUGCUCCUUUGAUUAAUGAAACAAAUACGUCCAAUGGCAAUGUUGAGCAACCGAAUUUUGAGUUAGACGGGAGAACCACAACAGGUGUUGCCCAUGUGAUUAAUGAAACAAAUACGUCAAAUGGUGUUGUUGAACAUCUAACUUCUGAGUUAAACGAGAGAACUACAGAUGAUUUUGAUGAUUCAUGGUUGCGUCACAAUGAUACUUUCCAAACAAUUCCAAUGGAAGUUCUUUCGCAAUUGUCUCUGGUCGAGCGGCGGAGGGUGAAAGACAGAGAAAGGUGGAGCAAAAGAUACCUUAAUAUGACAAAUGAUCAGAAGGCUAAGAAAAAAUGCCAACAAGCAAUCAACUAGGACUAUCAAUUAUUCAGAUAUUAUAGCCAGUGUUGCAGCCAACAAAAGUUUGCACAUUUUUUGAAGCAUCAUUAUUUCUAUUACAACAUAUAUGGUUUAUUUCUUAACCAUUUAUGUUUAUAUAUAUAACAACAUAUAUGGUUUAUUUAUUAAUCU
Molecule: long non-coding RNA, 4208 nt
Organism: Panicum virgatum (switchgrass)
Lineage: Eukaryota; Viridiplantae; Streptophyta; Magnoliopsida; Poales; Poaceae
Exons: 7
Source: RefSeq, a predicted model, not a curated record